GACGAACGCUGGCGGCGUGCUUAACACAUGCAAGUCGAACGGUGAAGCGCCUUCCUUUUUGGUGGGUGUGGAUGAGUGGCGAACGGGUGAGUAACACGUGAGUAACCUGCCCCCUUCUUCUGGAUAACCGCAUGAAAGUGUGGCUAAUACGGGAUAUUCUGGGUCUGUCGCAUGAUGGGUCUGGGAAAGAUAUUGUUUCGGUGGGGGAUGGGCUCGCGGCCUAUCAGCUUGUUGGUGGGGUGAUGGCCUACCAAGGCGGUGACGGGUAGCCGGCCUGAGAGGGUGGACGGUCACACUGGGGAUGAGGCACGGCCCAGCCUCGUACGGGAGGCAGCAGUGGGGAAUAUUGCACGAUGGGCGCAAGACUGAUGCAGCGACGCCGCGUGAGGGAUGGAGGCCUUCGGGUUGUGAACCUCUUUCGCCAGUGAAGCAGGCCUGCCUCGUUUGUGGGUGGGUUGACGGUAGCUGGAUAAGAAGCGCCGGCUAACUACGUG
This 494-nucleotide ribosomal RNA is filed under the name uncultured bacterium. RNAcentral's name for it is "partial 16S ribosomal RNA". It matches the Rfam family "Bacterial small subunit ribosomal RNA", at positions 28 to 507 of the family's 1533-position model. The record is from RNAcentral.